UUUUCGGUUGUUUGAAAUUAGAAUCAACUUCUAGUUUCAUUCUUGACUCGUUUGAGCCUGUAAACAACUUGUUGCUUCAUUAUUGUCUAGAUUGAAGUUGGGAACAACUUGUAGCUUCAUUCCAGACUCGUUUGAAGUUGAAAACAACUUGUAGCUUCAUUUUCAGUUGUUUAAAAUUAGAAUGAAUUUGUAGUUUCAUUCUUGACUCGUUUAAGCCUGUAAACAACUUCUUGCUUCAUUAUUGGCUAGAUUGAAGUUGGAAACAACUUGUAGCUUCAUUUUCAGUUGUUUAAAAUUAGAAUGAAUUUGUAGUUUCAUUCUUGACUCGUUUAAGCCUGUAAACAACUUGUUGCUUCAUUAUUGGCUAGAUUGUAGUUGGAAACAAAUUGUAGCUUCCUUCCAGACUCGUUUGAAGUUGAAAACAACUUGUAGCUUCAUUUUCAGUUGUUUAAAAUUAUAAUCAACUUUUAGUUUCAUUCUUAACACGUUUGAGCGCGGGAACAACUUGUUGCUUCAUUCCAGACUCGUUUGAAGUUGAAAACAACUUGUAG
This 551-nucleotide long non-coding RNA is filed under the name Daucus carota (carrot). Its description in RNAcentral is "long non-coding RNA (DCAR_LNC007068)". Lineage: Eukaryota; Viridiplantae; Streptophyta; Magnoliopsida; Apiales; Apiaceae. The record is from RNAcentral.